GACGAACGCUGGCGGCGUGCUUAACACAUGCAAGUCGAACGGUAAGGCCCUUCGGGGUACACGAGUGGCGAACGGGUGAGUAACACGUGGGUGAUCAGCCCUGCACUUCGGGAUAAGCCUGGGAAACUGGGUCUAAUACCGGAUAGGACCACUGCCUGCAUGGGUGGUGGUGGAAAGCUUUUGCGGUGUGGGAUGGGCCCGCGGCCUAUCAGCUUGUUGGUGGGGUGAUGGCCUACCAAGGCGACGACGGGUAGCCGGCCUGGGAGGGUGACCGUCCACACUGGGACUGAGAGACGGCCCAGACGCCUAGGGGAGGCAGCAGUGGGGAAUAUUGCAAAGUGGGCGCAAGCCUGAUGCAGCGACGCCGCGGAGGGUAUGACGGCCUUCGGGUUGUAAACCUCUUUCAGCACCGACGAAGCGCAAGUGACGGUAGGUGCAGAAGAAGGACCGGCCAACUACGUGCCAGCAGCCGCGGUAA
This 478-nucleotide ribosomal RNA is filed under the name uncultured bacterium. RNAcentral describes it as "partial 16S ribosomal RNA". It matches the Rfam family "Bacterial small subunit ribosomal RNA", at positions 28 to 523 of the family's 1533-position model. The record is from RNAcentral.